UUUCUAGGUCCGUAUGAUUUGAAAUACUUGCACACAAACCGCUCGAAAGCGUUCCUGGAAAUCUCAGCCCAAAAAAGGACGUUUAGUAAUUCUAAAAGGGACUACAGGAUGAAAAACAAUAGUUUUGGCAGUUAAAGUUUGAGAUUCGAUGGUGCCGUAGAUCCGUUUGGUCAUCAGGUGUAACGAGCCACACACAUGUCUAGCUAGAGUAGUGUGCUAGGCUCAGACUAGAGAAGAAACGGGGAACAAAGUGAUGAAAGAAUGAUCAUACCGAGGGAAUUCACUCAGAACUUACAAGAAUGAUAACGUGCUCCGACUGGAGCGCUUUAGUAACUGCUGGAAGGCUCUAGGCGAAUAAAGAUGGAAUGACUUCUAAUUUUUAGGUCCGUAUGAUUUGAAAUACUUGCACACAAACCACGCAAAACCGUUCCUAGAAAUCUCGGUCGAAAAAAGGACGUUUAGUAAUUCUAAAAGGGACUACAGGAUGAAAAACAAUAGUUUUGGCAGUUAAAGUUUGAGAUUCGAUGGUGCCGUAGAUCCGUUUGGUCAUCAGGUGUUACGAGCCACACCCAUGUCUAGCUAGAGUAGUGUGCUAGGUUCAGACUAGAGAAGAAACGGGGAACAAAGUGAUUAAAGAAUGAUCAUACCGAGGGAAUUCACUCAGAACUAACAAGAAUGAUAACGUGCUCCGACUGGAGCGGUUUAGGAACUGCUGGAAGGCUCUAGGGGAAUAAAGAUGGAAUGACUUCUAAUUUUUACGUCCGUAUGAUUUGAAAUACAUGCACACAAACCACGCAAAAGCGUUCCUGGAAAUCUCAGCCUAAAAAAGGACGUUUAGUAAUUCUAAAAGGGACUACAGGAUGAAAAAUAAUAGUUUGGGCAGUUAAAAUUUGAGAUUCGACGCUGCCGUAGAUCCGUUUGGUCAUCAGGUCUUACGAGCCACACCCAUGUCUAGCUAGAAUAGUGUGUUAGGCUCAGGCUAGAGAAGAAACGGGGAACAAACUGAUGAAAGAAUGAUCAUACCGAGGGAAUUCACUCAGAACUAACAAGAAUGAUAACGUGCUCCGACUGGAGCAGUUUAGAAACUCCUGGAAGGCUCUAGGGGAAUAAAGAUGGAAUGACUUCAAAGUUUUAGGUCCGUAUGAUUUGAAAUACUUGCACACAAACCGCGUGAAAGCGUUCCUGGAAAUCUCAACCCAAAAAAGGGCGUUUAGUAAUUCUAAAAGGGACUACAGGAUGUAAAACAAUAGUUUUGGCAGUUAAAGUUUGAGAUUCGAUGGUGCCGUAGAUCCGUUUGGUCAUCAGGUGUAACGAGCCACACCCAUGUCUAGCUAGAGUAGUGUGCUAGGCUCAGACUAGAGAAGAAACGGGGAACAAAGUGAUGAAAGAAUGAUCAUACCGAGGGAAUUCACUCAUAACUAACAAGAAUGAUAACGUGCUCUGACUUGAGCGGUUUAGGAACUGCUGGAAGGCUAUAGGGGAAUAAAGAUGGAAUGACUUCAAAUUUUUAGGUCCGUAUGAUCUGAAAUACUUGCACACAAACCGCGAGAAAGCGUUCCUGGAAAUCUCAACCCAAAAAAGGACGUUUAGUAAUUCUAAAAGGGACUACAGGAUGAAAAACAAUAGUUCUGGCAGUUAUUGUUUGAGAUUCGAUAAUCUCGUAGAUCCGUUUGGUCAUCAGGUGUAACGAGCCACACCCAUGUCUAGCUAGAGUAGUGUGCUAGGCUCAGACUAGAGAAGAAACGGGGAACAAACUGAUGAAAGAAUGAUCAUACCGAGGGAAUUCACUUAGAACUAACAAGAAUGAUAACGUGCUCCGACUGGAGCGGUUUAGGAACUGCUGGAAGGCUCUAGGGGAAUAAAGAAGGAACGACUUCUAAUUUUUAGGUCCGUAUGAUUUGAAAUAUGUGCACACAAACCACGAGAAAGCGUUCCUAGAAAUCUCGGCCCAAAAGAGGACGUUUAGUAUUCUAAAAGGGACUACAGAAUGAAAAACAAUAGUUUUGGCAGUUAAAGUUUGAGAUUUGACGGUGCCGUAGAUCUGUUUGGUCAUCAGGGGUUACGAGCCACACCCAUGUCUAGCUAGAAUAGUGUGUUAGGCUCAGGCUAGAAAAGAAACGGGGAACAAAGUGAUGAAAGAAUGAUCAUACCGAGGGAAUUCACUCAGAACUAACAAGAAUGAUAACAUGCUCCGACUGGAGCGGUUUAGGAACUGCUGGAAGGCUCUAGGGGAAUAAAGAUGGAAUGACUUCUAAUUUUUAGGUCCGUAUGAUUUGAAAUACUUGCACACAAACCGCGCGAAAGCGUUCCUGGAAAUCUCAGCCCAAAAAAGGACGUUUAGUAAUUCUAAAAGGGACUACAGGAUGAAAAACAAUAGUUUUGGCAGUUAAAGUAUGAGAUUCAACGGUGCCGUAGAUCCGUUUGGUCAUUAGGUGUUACGAGCCACACCCAUGUCUAGCUAGAAUAGUGUGCUAGGCUCAGGCUAGAGAAGAAACGGGGAACAAACUGAUGAAAGAAUGAUCAAACCGAGGGAAUUCACUCAGAACUAACAAUAAUGAUAACGUGCUCCGACUGGAGCGGUUUAGGAACUGCUGGAAGUCUCUAGGGGAAUAAAGAUGGAAUGACUUCUAAUUUUUACGUUCGUAUGAUUUGAAAAACUUGCCCAUAAACCGCGCGAAAGUGUUCCUGGAAAUCUCAGCCCAAAAAAGGACGUUUAGUAAUUUUAAAAGGGACUACACGAUGAAAAACAAUAGUUUUGGCAGGUAAAGUUUGAGAUUCGACAGUGCCGUAGAUCCGUUUGGUCAUCAGGUGUUACGAGCCACACCCAUGUCUAGCUAGAAUAGUAUGUUACGCUCAGGUUAGAGAAGAAACGGGGAACAAACUGAUGAAAGAUGAUCAUACCAAGGGAAUUCACUCAGAACUAACAAGAAUGAUAACGUGCUCCGACUGGAGCGGUUUAGGAACUGCUGGAAGGCUCUAGGGGAAUAAAGAUGGAAUGACUUCUAAUUUUUACGUCUGUAUGAUUUGAAAUACUUGCACACAAACAACGCAAAAGCAUUCCUGGAAAUCUCAUCCUAAAAAAGGACGUUUAGUAAUUCUAAAAGGGACUACAGGAUGAAAAAUAAUAGUUUGGGAAGUUAAAAUUUGAGAUUCGAUAGUGCCGUAGAUCCGUUUGGUCAUCAGGUGUUAGGAGCCACACCCAUGUCUAGCUAGAAUAGUGUGUUAGGCUCAGGCUAGAGAAGAAACAGGGAACAAACUGAUGAAAGAAUGAUCAUACCGAGGGAAUUCACUCAGAACUAGCAAGAAUGAUAACGUGCUCCGACUGGAGCAGUUUUGAAACUGCUGGAAGGCUCUAGGGGAAUAAUGAUGGAAUGACUUCUAAGUUUUUGGUCCGUAUGAUUUGAAAUACGUGCACACAAACCCAGAGAAAGUGUUCUUGGAAAUCUCGGCCGAAAAAAGGAUGUUUAAUAAUUCUAAAAGGGACUACAGGAUGAAAAACAAUAGUUUUGGCAGUUAAAGUUUGUGAUUCGAUGGUGCUGUAGAUCUGUUUGGUCAUCAGGUGUUAUGAGCCACACCCAUGUCUAGCUAGAACAGUGUGUUAGGCUCAGGCUAGAGCAGAAACGGGGAACAAACUUAUGAAAGAAUGAUCAUACCGAGGGAAUUCACUCAGAACUAACAAGAAUGAUAACGUGCUCCGACUGGAGAGGUUUAGGAACUGCUGGAAGGCUCUAGGGGAAUAAAGAUGGAAUGACUUCAAAUUUUUAGGUCUGUAUGAUCUGAAAUACUUGCACACAAACCGCGAGAAAGCGUUCCUGGAAAUCUCAGCCCAAAAAAGGACGUUUAGUGAUUCUAAAAGGGACUACGGGAUAAAAAACAAUAGUUUUGGCAGUUAAAGUUUGAGAUUCGAUAAUGCCGUAGAUCCGUUUGGUCAUCAGGUGUAACGAGCCACACCCAUGUCUAGCUAGAGUAGUGUGCUAGGCUCAUACUAGAGAAGAAAUGGGGAACAAACUGAUGAAAGAAUGAUCAUACCGAGGGAGUUCACUCAAAACUAACAUGAAUGAUAACGUGCUCCGACUGGAGCGGUUUAGGAACUGCUGGAAGGCUCUAGGGGAAUAAAGAUGGAAUGACUUCUAAUUUUUAGGUCCGUAUGAUUUGAAAUACAUGCACACAAACCCCAAGAAAGCGUUCCUGGAAAUCUCGCCCCGAAAAACGACGUUUAGUAAUUCUAAAAGGGACUAUAGGAUGAAAAACAAUAGUUUUGGCAGUUAAAGUUUGAGAUUUGACGGUGCCGUAGAUCUGUUUGGUCAUCAGGUGUUACGAGCCACACCCAUUUCUAGCUAGAAUAGUGUGUUAGGCUCAGGCUAGAAAAGAAACGGGGAACAAAGUGAUGAAAGAAUGAUCAUACCGAGGGAAUUCACUCAGAACUAACAAGAAUGAUAACAUGGUCCGACUGGAGCGGUUUAGGAACUGCUGGAAGGCUCUAGGGGAAUAAAGAUGGAAUGACUUCUAACUUUUAGGUCCGUAUGAUUUGAAUUACUUGCACACAAACCGCGCGAAAGCGUUCCUGGAAAUCUCAGCCCAAAAAAGGACGUUUAGUAAUUCUAAAAGGGACUACAGGAUGAAAAACAAUAGUUUUGGCAGUUAAAGUUUGAGAUUCGACGGUGCCGUAGAUCCGUUUGGUCAGCAGGUGUUACGAGCCACACCCAUGUCUAGCUAGAGUAGUGUGCUAGGUUCAGACUAGAGAAGAAAUGUUGGGGAACGUAGCAGAAAUUCAAAAUUUUCCUACGUGUCACCAAGAUCUAUCUAUGGAGAGACUAGCAACGAGGGAAGGAGAGUGCAUCUACAUACCCUUGUAGAUCGCUAAGCGGAAGCGUUCAAGUGAACGGGGUUGAUGGAGUCGUACUCGUCGUGAUUCAGCUCACCGAUGAUCCUAGUGCCGAACGGACGGCACCUCCGCGUUCAACACACGUACAGCUCGACGAUGUCUCCCACGCCUUGAUCCAGCAAGGAGAGAGGGAGAGGUUGAGGAAGACUCCAUCCAGCAGAAGCACAACGGCGUGGUGGUGAUGGAGGAGCAUGGCAAUCCUGCAGGGCUUCGCCAAGCACCUAUGGGAGAGGAGGAGGUGUCACGGGAGGGAGGGAGGCGCCAAGGGCUCAGGUAUAGAUGCCCUCCCUCCCCUCCACUAUAUAUAGGGGCAAGGGAGAGGGGGGAGGCGCAGCCUUGCCCCUUCCUCCAAGGAAGGGGUGCGGCUAAGAGGGGGGGAGGAGUCCAUCCUCCCCAAGGCACCUCGGAGGUGCCUUCCCCCUUUAGGACUCUCCCCUUUUUCCUAUAUCUUGGCGCAUGGGCCUCUAGGGGCUGGUUCCCUUGGCCCAUGUAGGCCCAGGCGCACCCCCUACAGCCCAUGUGGCCCCCCGGGGCAGGUGGCCCCACCUGGUGGGCCCCCGGGACCCUUCCGGUGGUCCCGGUACAAUACCGAUGACCCCGAAACUUGUCCCGAUGGCCGAAACAGGACUUCCUAUAUAUAAAUCUUUACCUCCGGACAAUUCCGGAACUCCUCGUGACGUCCGGGAUCUCAUCCGGGACUCCGAACAACAUUCGGUAACCACAUACAAACUUCCUUUAUAACCCUAGCGUCAUCGAACCUUAAGUGUGUAGACCCUACGGGUUCGGGAGACAUGUAGUCAUGACCGAGAUGUUCUCCGGUCAAUAACCAACAGCGGGAUCUGGAUACCCAUGUUGGCUCCCACAUGUUCCACGAUGAUCUCAUCGGAUGAACCACGAUGUCAAGGACUCAAUCAAUCCCGUAUACAAUUCCCUUUGUCUAGCGGUAUGGUACUUGCCCGAGAUUCGAUCGUCGGUAUACCGAUACCUUGUUCAAUCUCGUUACCGGCAAGUCUCUUUACUCAUUUCGUAACACAUCAUCCCGUGAUCAACCCCUUGGUCACAUUGUGCACAUUAUGAUGAUGUCCUACCGAGUGGGCCCAGAGAUACCUCUCCGUUUACACGGAGUGACAAAAUCCCAAUCUCGAUUCGUGCCAACCCAACAGACACUUUCAGAGAUACCCGUAGUGUACCUUUACAGCCACCCAGUUACGUUGUGACGUUUGGCACACCCAAAGCACUCCUACAGUAUCCGGGAGUUGCACAAUCUCAUGGUCUAAGGAAAUGAUACUUGACAUUAGAAAAGCUUUAGCAUACGAACUACAUGAUCUUGUGCUAGGCUUAGGAUUGGGUCUUGUCCAUCACAUCAUUCUCCUAAUGAUGUGAUCCCGUUAUCAACGACAUCCAAUGUCCAUGGUCAGGAAACCGUAACCAUCUAUUGAUUAACGAGCUAGUCAACUAGAGGCUUACUAGGGACAUGGUGUUGUCUAUGUAUCCACACAUGUAUCUAAGUUUCCUAUCAAUACAAUUCUAGCAUGGAUAAUAAACGAUUAUCAUGAACAAGGAAAUAUAAUAAUAAUCAAUUUAUUAUUGCCUCUAGGGCAUAUUUCCAACAGUCUCCCACUUGCACUAGAGUCAAUAAUCUAGUUCACAUCGAUAUGUGAUUAACACUCAAGGUCACAUUCCCAUGUGACUAACACCCAAGAGUUUACUAGAGUCAAUAAUCUAGUUCACAUUUACCAUGUGAUUAACACUUGAUGAGUUCUGGGUUUGAUCAUGUUAUGCUUGUGAGAGAGGUUAUAGUCAACGGGUCUGAACCUUUCAGAUCCGUGUGUGCUUUACAAAUCUCUAUGUCAUCUCCUAGAUGCAGCUACCACGUUCUAUUUGGAGCUAUUCCAAAUAACUGUUCUACUUGGAGCUAUUCUAAAUUGUUGCUCCAUUAUACGUAUCCGGUAUCUCUACUCAGAGCUAUCCGGAUAGGUGUUAAGCUUGCAUCGACGUAACCCUUUACGACGAACUCUUUUACCACCUCCAUAAUUGAGAAAAUUCCUUAGUCCACUAGUUACUAAGGAUAACUUUGACCGCUGUCCUGUGAUCCAUUCUUGGAUCACUCUUGUACCCCUUGACUGACUCAUGGUAAAGCACACUUCAGGUGCGGUACACAGCAUAGCAUACUGUAGAGCCUAUGUCUUAAGCAUAGGGGACGACCUUCGUUCCUUUCUCUCUAUUCUGCCAUGGUCGAGCUUUAAGUCUUAACUUCAUACCUUACAACUCAGGCAAGAACUCCUUCUUUGACUGAUCCAUCUUGAACACCUUCAAGAUCACGUCAAGGCAUGUGCUCACGUCAAGAUCACGUCGGUAUACCGAUACCUUGUUCAAUCUCGUUACCGGCAAGUCUCUUUACUCGUUCCGUAACACAUCAUCCCGUGAUCAACCCCUUGGUCACAUUGUGCACAUUAUGAUGAUGUCCUACCGAGUGGGCCCAGAGAUACCUCUCCGUUUACACGGAGUGACAAAAUCCCAAUCUCGAUUCGUGCCAACCCAACAGACACUUUCAGAGAUACCCGUAGUGUACCUUUAUAGCCACCCAGUUACGUUGUGACGUUUGGCACACCCAAAGCACUCCUACGGUAUCCGGGAGUUGCACAAUCUCAUGGUCUAAGGAAAUGAUACUUGACAUUAGAAAAGCUUUAGCAUACGAACUACAUGAUCUUGUGCUAGGCUUAGGAUUGGGUCUUGUCCAUCACAUCAUUCUCCUAAUGAUGUGAUCCCGUUAUCAACGACAUCCAAUGUCCAUGGUCAGGAAACCGUAACCAUCUAUUGAUUAACGAGCCAGUCAACUAGAGGCUUACUAGGGACAUGGUGUUGUCUAUGUAUCCACACAUGUAUCUGAGUUUCCUAUCAAUACAAUUCUAGCAUGGAUAAUAAACGAUUAUCAUGAACAAGGAAAUAUAAUAAUAAUCAAUUUAUUAUUGCCUCUAGGGCAUAUUUCCAACAGUCUCCCACUUGCACUAGAGUCAAUAAUCUAGUUCACAUCACCAUGUGAUUAACACUGACAGGUCACAUCACCAUGUGACCAACAUCCAAAGAGUCUUGGGUUUGAUCAUGUUGCUUGUGAGAGAGGUUAUAGUCAACGGGUCUGAACCUUUCAGAUCCGUGUGUGCUUUACAAAUCUCUAUGUCAUCUCCUAGAUGCAGCUACCACGUUCUAUUUGGAGCUAUUCCAAAUAACUGUUCUACUUGGAGCUAUUCUAAAUUGUUGCUCCAUUAUACGUAUCCGGUAUCUCUACUCAGAGCUAUCCGGAUAGGUGUUAAGCUUGCAUCGACGUAACCCUUUACGACGAACUCUUUUACCACCUCCAUAAUUGAGAAAAUUCCUUAGUCCACUAGUUACUAAGGAUAACUUUGACCGCUGUCCUGCGAUCCAUUCUUGGAUCACCCUUGUACCCCUUGACUGACUCAUGGUAAAGCACACUUCAGGUGCGGUACACAGCAUAGCAUACUGUAGAGCCUAUGUCUUAAGCAUAGGGGAUGACCUUCGUUCCUUUCUCUCUAUUCUGCCAUGGUCGAGCUUUAAGUCUUAACUUCAUACCUUACAACUCAGGCAAGAACUCCUUCUUUGACUGGUCCAUCUUGAACACCUUCAAGAUCAUGUCAAGGUAUGUGCUCAUUUGAAAGUACUAUUAAGCGUUUUGAUCUAUCCUUAUAGAUCUUGAUGCUCAAUGUUCAAGUAGCUUAAUCCAGGUUUUCCAUUGAAAACACUUUCCAAAUAACCCUAUAUGCUUUCCAGAAAUUCUACGUCAUUUCUGAUCAUUAAUAUGUCAACAACAUAUAAUCAUCAGAAAUUCUAUAGUGCUCCCACUCACUUCUUUGGAAAUACAAGUUUCUCAUAAACUUUGUAUACACCCAAAAUCUUUGAUCAUCAUCAAAGCAUACAUUCCAACUCCGAGAUGCUCACUCCAGUCCUCAGAAGGAUUGCUGGAGCUUUGCAUACUUAUUAGCAUAUUUCAGGAUAGACAAAACCUUCCAGUUGUAUCACAUACAACCUUUCCUCAAGAAUCGUCGACGAAACAAUGUUUUGACAUCCUAUCUGCAAGAUUUCAUAAAUAAUGCAGUAAUUGUUAAUAUAAUUCCAACAGACUCUUAGCAUCGCUACGAGUGAGAAAGUCUCAUUGUAGUCAACUCCUUGAACUUGUCAAAAAACAUCUUAACGACAAGUCGAGCUUUCUCAAUGGUGACACUUACCAUCAUUGUCUGUCUUCCUUUCAAAAUCCAUAUGUACCUAACAGCCUUACGACCAUCAAGUAGUUCUUCCAAAGUCUACACUUUGUUUUCAUACAUGGAUCCUCUCUCGGGUUUUAUGGCCAUGAGCCAUUUAUCGGAAUCCGGGCCCACCAUUGCUUCUCCAUAGCUCGUAGGUUCAUUGUUGUCUAGCAACAUGACUUCCAAGACAGGAUUACUGUACCACUCUGAAGUAGUACGUAUCCUUGUCACCCUACGAGGUUUGGGAGUGACUUGAUCUGAAGUUUCAUGAUCACUAUCAUAAGCUUCUACUUCAAUUGGUGUAGGUGCCACAGGAACAACUUCCUGUGCCCUGCUACACACUGGUUGAAGUGAUGGUUCAAUAACCUCAUCAAGUCUCCACCAUCCUCCCACUCAAUUCUUUCGAGAGAAACCUUUCCUCGAGAAAGGACCCAAUUCUAGAAACAAUUCAUAUUGCUUUCGGAUCUGAAUUAGGAAGUAUACCCAACUGUUUUGGGUGUCCUAUGAAGAUGUACUUUAUCCGCUUUGGUUUCGAGCUUAAUCCUGAAACUUUUUCACAUAAGUGUCGCAGCCCCAAACCUUUAAGAAACGACAACUUAGGUUUCUCUAAACCAUAAUUCAUACGGUGUCAUCUCAUCGGAAUUACGUGGUGCCCUAUUUAAAGUGAAUGUGGUUGUCUUUAAUGCCUAACCCAUAAACUAUCGUGGCAGUUCGAUAAGAGACAUCAUGGUAUGCAUCAUAUCCAAUAGGGUGCAACUAUGAUGUUCGGACACACCAUCACACUAUGGUGUUCCAGGCGGUAUUAAUUGUGAAACAAUUUCCACAAUGUCUUAAUUGUGUGCCAAAACUCGUAACUCAGAUACUCAUCUCUAUGAUCAUAUCAUAGACAUUUUAUCCUCUUGUCACAAUGAUCUUCUACUUCACUCUGAAAUUACUUGAACCAUUCAACAAUUCAGACUUGUGUUUCAUCAAGUAAAUAUUCUCAACAUCUACUCGAAUCAUCUGUGAAGUAAGAACAUAACGAUAUUCACUGCAUGCCUCAGCACUCAUUGGACUGCACACAUCAAAAUGUGUUACUUCCAACAAGUUGCUAUCUUGUUCCAUCUUACUGAAAACGAGGCUUUUCAGUCAUCUUGCCCAUGUGGUAUGAUUUGCAUGUCCCAAGUGAUUCAAAAAUCAAGUGAGUCAAAACGGUCCAUUUGCAUGGAGUUUCUUCAUGCAUAUACACCAAUAGACAUGGUUCGCAUGUCUCAAACUUUUCAAAAACGAGUGAGCCCAAAGAUCCAUCAAUAUGGAGCUUCUUCAUGCGUUUUAUACCGAUAUGACUUACGUGGUAGUGCCACAAGUAGGUGGUACUAUCAUUACUAUCUUUUGGCAUGAACAUGUGUAUCACUACGAUCGAGAUUUAAUAAACCAUUCAUUUUAGGUGUAAGACCAUUGAAGGUAUUAUUCAAAUAAACAGAGUAACCAUUAUUCUCCUUAAAUGAAUAACCGUAUUGCGAUAGACGUAAUCCAAUCAUGUCUAUGCUCAACGCAAACACCAAAUAACAAUUAUUUAGGUUUAACACCAAUCUCUUUGGUAGAGGGAGCGUGCGAUGCUUGAUCAUAUCAAGCAUGGAAAAACUUACAACACAUAUCGUCAGCUCACCUUUAGCUAGUCUCUGUUUAUUCCGUAGCCUUUUGUUUCGAGUUACUAACACUUAGCAACCGAACUGGUAUCUAAUACCCUGGUGCUACUAGGAGUACUAGCAAAGUACACAUUAACACAAUGUAUAUCCAAUAUACUUCUAUCGACCUUGCCAGCCUUCUUAUCUACCAAGUAUCUAGGGUAAUUCUGCUCUAGUAGUUGUUCCCCUUAUUACAGAAGCACUUAGUCUCGGGUUUGGGUUUUACCUUGGGUUUCUUCACUAGAGCAGCAGCUGAUUUGCCGUUUCAUGAAGUAUCCCUUCUUGCCCUUGCCCUUCUUGAAACUAGUGGUUCCACCAACCAUCAACAAUUGAUGCUCCUUCUUGAUUUCUACUUUCGCGGUGUCAAACAUCGCGAAUACCUCAAGGAUCAUCAUAUCUAUCCCUGAUAUGUUAUAGUUCAUCAUGAAGCUCUAACAGCUUGGUGGCAAUGACUUUGGAGAACCAUCACUAUCUCAUCUGGAAGAUCAACUCCCACUCGAUUCAAGCGAUUGUUGUACUCAGACAAUCUGAGCACAAGCUCAACGAUUGAGCUUUUCUCCCUUAGUUUGCAGGUUAAGAAAGUCAUCGGAGGUCUUAUACCUCUUGACAUGGGCACGAGCCUGAAAUCCCAAUUUCAGCCCUCAAAACAUCUCAUAUGUUUCGCGAUGUUUCAAAAACGUCUUUGGUGCCUCAACUCUAAACCGUUUAACUGAACUAUCACGUAGUUAUCAAAACGUGUAUGUCAGAUGUUCGCAACAACCACAGACAACGUUCGAGGUUCAGCACACUGAGCGGUGCAUUAAGGACAUAAGCCUUCUAUGAAGCAAUGAGGACAAUCCUCAGUUUACGGACCUAGUCCGCAUAAUUGCUACUAUCAACUUUCAACUAAUUUUUCUCUAGGAACAUAUCUAAACAGUAGAACUAUAGCGUGAGCUACGACAUAAUUUGCAAAAACCUUUUGACUAUGUUCAGGAUAAUUAAGUUCAUCUUAUGAACUCCCACUCAGAUAGACAUCCCUCUAGUCAUCUAAGUGAUUACAUGAUCCGAGUCAAACUAGGCCGUGUCCGAUCAUCACGUGAGACGGACUAGUCAUCAUCGGUGAACAUCUUCAUGUUGAUCGUAUCUUCUAUACGACUCAUGUUCGACCUUUCGGUCUUCGUGUUCCGAGGCCAUGUAUGUACAUGCUAGGCUCGUCAAGUUAACCCUAAGUGUUUCGCGUGUGUAAAUCUGUCUUACACCCGUUGUAUGUGAACGUUAGAAUCUAACACCCGAUCAUCACGUGGUGCUUCGAAACACGAACUGUCGCAACGGUGCACAGUUAGGGGAGAACACUUCUUGAAAUUGUUGUAAGGGAUCAUCUUAUUUACUACCGUCGUUCUAAGCAAAUAAGAUGUAUAAACAUGAUAAACAUCACAUGCAAUCAAAUAGUGACAUGAUAUGGCCAUCAUCACUUUGCUCCUUUUGAUCUCCAUCUUCGGGGCUCCAUGAUCAUCAUCGUCACCGGCAUGACACCAUGAUCUCCAUCAUCAUGAUCUCCAUCAUCGUGUCUUCAUGAAGUUGCCUCGCCAACUAUUACUUCUACUACUAUGGCUAACGGUUAGCAAUAAAGUAAAGUAAUUACAUGACGUUUAAGUUGACACGCAGGUCACAAAUGAAUAAAGACAACUCCUAUGGCUCCUGCCGGUUGUCAUACUCAUCGACAUGCAAGUCGUGAUUCCUAUUACAAGAACAUGAUCAAUCUCAUACAUCACAUAUAUCAUUCAUCACAUCCUUUUUGGCCAUAUCACAUCACAUAGCAUACCCUGCAAAAACAAGUUAGACGUCCUCUAAUUGUUGUUUGCAUGUUUUACGUGGCUGCUAUGGGUUUCUAGCAAGAACGUUUCUUACCUACGCAUGAACAACAACGUGAUAUGCCAAUUGCUAUUUACCCUUCAUAAGGACCCUUUUCAUCGAAUCCGAUCCGACUAAAGUGGGAGAGACAGACACCCGCCAGCCACCUUAUGCAACUAGUGCAUGUUUGUCGGUGGAACCGGUCUCACGUAAGCGUACGUGUAAGGUUGGUCCGGGCCGCUUCAUCCCACGAUGCCGCCGAAUCAAGAUAAGACUAGUAACGGCAAGCAUAUUGAACAAUAUCAACGCCCACAACUACUUUGUGUUCUACUCGUGCAAAGAAUCUACGCAAUAGACCUAGCUCAUGAUGCCACUGUUGGGGAACGUAGCAGAAAUUCAAAAUUUUCCUACGUGUCACCAAGAUCUAUCUAUGGAGAUACUAGCAACGAGGGAAGGAGAGUGCAUCUACAUACCCUUGUAGAUCGCUAAGCGGAAGCGUUCAAGUGAACGGGGUUGAUGGAGUCGUACUCGUCGUGAUUCAGAUCACCGAUGAUCCUAGUGCCGAACGGACGGCACCUCCGCGUUCAACACACGUACAGCUCGACGAUGUCUCCCACGCCUUGAUCCAGCAAGGAGAGAGGGAGAGGUUGAGGAAGACUCCAUCCAGCAGCAGCACAACGGCGUGGUGGUGAUGGAGGAGCGUGGCAAUCCUGCAGGGCUUCGCCAAGCACCUACGGGAGAGGAGGAGGUGUCACGGGAGGGAGGGAGGCGCCAAGGGCUCAGGUAUAGAUGCCCUCCCUCCCCUCCACUAUAUAUAGGGGCAAGGGAGAGGGGGAGGCGCAUCCUUGCCCCUUCCUCCAAGGAAGGGGUGCGGCUAAGAGGGGGGGAGGAGUCCAUCCUCCCCAAGGCACCUCGGAGGUGCCUUCCCCCUUUAGGACUCUCCCCUUUUUCCUAUAUCUUGGCGCAUGGGCCUCUAGGGGCUGGUGCCCUUGGCCCAUGUAGGCCAAGGCGCACCCCCCUACAGCCCAUGUGGCCCCCCGGGGCAGGUGGCCCCACCCGGUGGGCCCCCGGGACCCUUCCGGUGGUCCCGGUACAAUACCGAUGACCCCGAAACUUGUCCCGAUGGCCGAAACAGGACUUCCUAUAUAUAAAUCUUUACCUCCGGACCAUUCCGGAACUCCUCGUGACGUCCGGGAUCUCAUCCGGGACUCCGAACAACAUUCGGUAACCACAUACAAACUUCCUUUAUAACCCUAGCGUCAUCGAACCUUAAGUGUGUAGACCCUACGGGUUCGGGAGACAUGUAGUCAUGACCGAGAUGUUCUCCGGUCAAUAACCAACAGCGGGAUCUGGAUACCCAUGUUGGCUCGCACAUGUUCCACGAUGAUCUCAUCGGAUGAACCACGAUGUCAAGGACUCAAUCAAUCCCGUAUACAAUUCCCUUUGUCUAGCGGUAUGGUACUUGCCCGAGAUUCGAUCGUCGGUAUACCGAUACCUUGUUCAAUCUCGUUACCGGCAAGCCUCUUUACUCGUUCCGUAACACAUCAUCCCGUGAUCAACCCCUUGGUCACAUUGUGCACAUUAUGAUGAUGUCCUACCGAGUGGGCCCAGAGAUACCUCUCCGUUUACACGGAGUGACAAAAUCCCAAUCUCGAUUCGUGCCAACCCAACAGACACUUUCAGAGAUACCCGUAGUGUACCUUUAUAGCCACCCAGUUACGUUGUGACGUUUGGCACACCCAAAGCACUCCUACGGUAUCCGGGAGUUGCACAAUCUCAUGGUCUAAGGAAAUGAUACUUGACAUUAGAAAAGCUUUAGCAUACGAACUACAUGAUCUUGUGCUAGGCUUAGNNNNNNNNNNUGAUCAACCCCUUGGUCACAUUGUGCACAUUAUGAUGAUGUCCUACCGAGUGGGCCCAGAGAUACCUCUCCGUUUACACGGAGUGACAAAAUCCCAAUCUCGAUUCGUGCCAACCCAACAGACAUUUUCAGAGAUACCCGUAGUGUACCUUUAUAGCCACCCAGUUACGUUGUGACGUUUGGCACACCCAAAGCACUCCUACGGUAUCCGGGAGUUGCACAAUCUCAUGGUCUAAGGAAAUGAUACUUGACAUUAGAAAAGCUUUAGCAUACGAACUACAUGAUCUUGUGCUAGGCUUAGGAUUGGGUCUUGUCCAUCACAUCAUUCUCCUAAUGAUGUGAUCCCGUUAUCAACGACAUCCAAUGUCCAUGGUCAGGAAACCGUAACCAUCUAUUGAUUAACGAGCUAGUCAACUAGAGGCUUACUAGGGACAUGGUGUUGUCUAUGUAUCCACACAUGUAUCUGAGUUUCCUAUCAAUACAAUUCUAGCAUGGAUAAUAAACGAUUAUCAUGAACAAGGAAAUAUAAUAAUAAUCAAUUUAUUAUUGCCUCUAGGGCAUAUUUCCAACAAGAAACGGGGAACAAACUGAUGAAAGAAUGAUCAUACCGAGGGAAUUCACUCAGAACUAACAAGAAUGAUAACGUGCUUUGACUGGAGCGGUUUAAAAACUGCUGGAAGGCUCUAGGGGAAUAAAGAUGGAAUGCCUUCAAAUUUCUAGGUCCGUAUGAUUUGAAAUACUUGCACACAAACCGCGCGAAAGCGUUCCUGGAAAUCUCAGCCCAAAAAAGGACGUUUAGUAAUUCUAAAAGGGACUACAGAAUGAAAAACAAUAGUUUUGGCAGUUAAAGUUUGAGAUUCGAUGGUGCCGUAGAUCCGUUUGGUCAUCAGGUGUAACGAGCCACACCCAUGUCUAGCUAGAGUAGUGUGCUAGGCUCAGGCUAGAGAAGAAACGGGGAACAAACUGAUGAAAGAAUGAUCAUACCGAGGGAAUUCACUCAGAACUAACAAGAAUGAUAACGUGCUCCGACUGGAGCGGUUUAGGAACUGCUGGAAGGCUCUAGGGGAAGAAAGAAGGAAUGACUUCUAAUUUUUAGGUCCGUAUGAUUUGAAAUACGUGCACACAAACCGCGCGAAAGCGUUCCUGGAAAUCUCAGCCCAAAAAAGGACGUUUAGUAUUCUAAAAGGGACUACAGAAUGAAAAACAAUAGUUUUGGCAGUUAAAGUUUGAGAUUCGACGGUGCCGUAGAUCCGUUUGGUCAUCAGGUGUUACGAGCCACACCCAUGUCUAGCUAGAAUAGUGUGCNNNNNNNNNNNNNNNNNNNNNNNNNCGUAUGAUUUGAAAUACGUGCACACAAACCGCGCGAAAGCGUUCCUGGAAAUCUCAGCCCAAAAAAGGACGUUUAGUAUUCUAAAAGGGACUACAGAAUGAAAAACAAUAGUUUUGGCAGUUAAAGUUUGAGAUUCGACGGUGCUGUAGAUCCGUUUGGUCAUCAGGUGUUACGAGCCACACCCAUGUCUAGCUAGAAUAGUGUGCUAGGCUCAGGCUAGAGAAGAAAAGGGGAACAAACUAAUGAAAGAAUGAUCAAUACGAGGGAAUUCACUCAGAACUAACAAUAAUGAUAACGUGCUCCGACUGGAGCGGUUUAGGAACUGCUGGAAGGCUCUAGGCGAAUAAAGAUGGAAUGACUUCUAAUUUUUACGUCCGUAUGAUUUGAAAUACUUGCACACAAACCACGCAAAAGCGUUCCUGGAAAUCUCGGCCUAAAAAGGACGUUUAGUAAUUCUAAAAGGGACUACAGGAUGAAAAAUAAUAGUUUGGGCAGUUAAAAUUUGAGAUUCGACGGUGCCGUAGAUCCGUUUGGUCAUCAGGUGUUACGAGCCACACCCAUGUCUAGCUAGAAUAGUGUGUUAGGCUCAGGCUAGAGAAGAAACGAGGAACAAACUGAUGAAAGAAUGAUCAUACCAAGGGAAUUCACUCAGAACUAACAAGAAUGAUAACGUGCUCCGACUGGAGCAGUUUAGAAACUGCUGGAAGGCUCUAGGGGAAUAAAGAUGGAAUGACUUCUGAUUUUUAGGUCCGUAUGAUUUGAAAUACGUGCACACAAACCCCGCGAAAGCGUUCCUGGAAAUCUCAGCCCAAAAAAGGACGUUUAGUAAUUCUAAAAGGGACUACAACAUGAAAAACAAUAGUUUUGGCAGUUAAAGUUUGAGAUUUCAUGGUGCCGUAGAUCUGUUUGGUCAUCAGGUGUUACGAGCCACACCCAUGUCUAGCUAGAAUAGUGUGUUAGGCUCAGGCUAGAAAAGAAACGGGAAACAAAGUGAUGAAAGAAUGACCAUACCGAGGGAAUUCACUCAGAACUAACAAGAAUGAUAACAUGCUCCGACUUGAGCGGUUUAGGAACUGCUGGAAGGCUCUAGGGGAAUAAAGAUGGAAUGACUUCUAAUGUUUAGGUCCGUAUGAUUUGAAAUACUUGCACAUAAACCGCACAAAAGCGUUCCUGGAAAUCUCAGCCCAAAAAAGGACGUUUAGUAAUUCUAAAAGGGACUACAGGAUGAAAAACAAUAGUUUUGGCAGUUAAAGUUUGAGAUUCGACGGUGCCGUAGAUCCGUUUGGUCAUCAGGUGUUACGAGCCACACCCAUGUCUAGCUAGAAUAGUGUGUUAGGCUCAGGCUAGAGAAGAAACUUGGAACAAACUGAUGAAAGAAUGAUCAAACCAACGGAAUUCACUCAGAACUAACAAUAAUGAUAACGUGCUCCGACUGGAGCAGUUUAGGAACUGCUGGAAGGCUCUAGGGGAAUAAAGAUGGAAUGACUUCUAAUUUUUAGGUCCGUAUGAUUUGAAAUACUUGCACGCAAACCGCGCGAAAGCGUUCCUGGAAAUAUCAGCCCAAAAAAGGACGUUUAGUAAUUCUAAAAGGGACUACAGGAUGAAAACAAUAGUUUUGGCAGUUAAAGUUUGAGAUUCAACAGUGCCGUAGAUCCGUUUGGUCAUCAGGUGUUAUGAGCCAUACCCAUGUCUAGCUAGAGUAGUGUGCUAGGCUCAGGCUAGAGAAGAAACAGGGAACAAACUGAUGAAAGAAUGAUCAUACCGAGGGAAUUCACUCAGAACUAACAAGAAUGAUAACGUGCUCCGACUGGAGCGGUUUAGGAACUGCUGGAAGGCUCUAGGGGAAUAAAGAUGGAGUGACUUCUAAAUUUUUAGGUCCGUAUGAUUUAAAAUACUUGCACACAAACCGCACGAAAGCGUUCCUUGAAAUCUCAGCCCAAAAAAGGACGUUUAGUAAGUCUAAAAGGGACUAUAGGAUGAAAAACAAUAGUUUUGGCAGUUAAAGUUUGAGAUUCGAUGGUGCCGUAGAUCUGUUUGGUCAUCAGGUGUUACGAGCCACACCCAUGUCUAGUUGGAAUAGUGUGCUAGGCUCAGACUAGAGAAGAAACAGGGAACAAACUGAUGAAAGAAUGAUCAAACCGAGGAAAUUCACUCAGAACUAACAAUAAUGAUAACAUGCUCCGACUGGAGCGGUUUAGGAACUGCUGGAAGGCUCUAGGGGAAUAAAGAUGGAAUGACUUCUAAAUUUUUAGGUCCGUAUGAUUUGAAAUAGUUGCACACAAACUGCGCGAAAGCGUUCCUGGAAAUCUCAGCCCAAAAAAGGACGUUUAGUAAUUCUAAAAGGGACUAUAGGAUGAAAAACAAUAGUUUUGGCAGUUAAAGUUUGAGAUUCGACGGUGCCGUAGAUCCGUUUGGUCAUCACGUGUUACAAGCCACACCCAUGUCUAGCUAGAGUAGUGUGCUAGGCUCAGACUAUAGAAGAAACGGGGACCAAACUGAUGAAAGAAUGAUCAAACCGAGGAAAUUCACUCAGAACUAACAAUAAUGAUAACAUGCUCCGACUGGAGCGGUUUAGGAACUACUGGAAGGCUCUAGGGGAAUAAAGAUGGAAUGACUUCUAAAUUUUUAGGUCCGUAUGAUUUUAAAUAGUUGCACACAAACUGCGCGAAAGCGUUCCUGGAAAUCUCAGCCCAAAAAAGGACGUUUAGUAAUUCUAAAAGGGACUACAGGAUGAAAAACAAUAGUUUGGGCAGUUAAAAUUUGAGAUUCGACGGUGCCGUAGAUCCGUUUGGUCAUCAGGUGUUACGAGCCACACCCAUGUCUAGCUAGAGUAGUGUGCUAGGCUCAGGCUAGAGAAGAAACAGGGAACAAACUGAUGAAAGAAUGAUCAUACCGAGGGAAUUCACUCAGAACUAACAAGAAUGAUAACGUGCUCUGACUGGAGCGGUUUAAGAACUGUUGGAAGGCUCUAGGGGAAUAAAGAUGGAAUCACUUCAAAUUUUUACGUCCGUGUGAUUUGAAAUACUUGCACACAAACCGCACGAAAGCGUUCCUGGAAAUCUCAGCCCAAAAAAGGACGUUUAGUAAGUCUAAAAGGGACUACACGAUGAAAAACAAUAGUUUUGGCAGUUAAAGUUUGAGAUUCGACAGUGCCGUAGAUCCGUUUGGUCAUCAGGUGUAACGAGCCACACCCAUGUCUAGAUAGAGUAGUGUGCUAGGCUCAAACUAGAGAAGAAACGGGGAACAAACUGAUGAAAGAAUGAUCAUACCGAGGGAAUUCACUCAGAAAUAACAAGAAUGAUAACGUGCUCUGACUGGAGCGGUUUAGGAACUGCUGGAAGGCUCUAGGGGAAUAAAGAAGGAAUGACUUCUAAUUUUUAGGUCCGUAUGAUUUGAAAUACGUGCACACAAACCCCGAGAAAGCGUUCCUGGAAAUCUCGACCCAAAAAAGGACGUUUAGUAAUUCUAAAAGGGACUACGGGAUGAAAAACAAUAGUUUUGGCAGUUAAAGUUUGAGAUUCGAUAAUGCCGUAGAUCCAUUUGGUCAUCAGGUGUAACGAGCCACACCCAUGUCUAGCUAGAGUAGUGUGCUAGGCUCAGACUAGAGAAGAAACAGGGAACAAACUGAUGAAAGAAUGAUCAUAUCGAGGGAAUUCACUCAGAACUAACAAGAAUGAUAACAUGCUCCGACUUGAGCGGUUUAGGAACUGCUGGAAGGCUCUAGGGGAAUAAAGAUGGAAUGACUUCUAAUUUUUAGGUCCGUAUGAUUUGAAAUACUUACACACAAACCACGCGAAAGCGUUCCUGGAAAUCUCAGCCCAAAAAAGGACGUUUAGUAAUUCUAAAAGGGACUACAUGAUGAAAAACAAUAGUUUUCGCAGUUAAAGUUUGAGAUUCGACGGUGCCGUAGAUCCGUUUGGUCAUCAAGUGUUACGAGCCACACCCAUGUCUAGCUAGAAUAGUGUGUUAGGCUCAGCCUAGAGAAGAAACGGGGAACAAACUGAUGAAAGAAUGAUCAUACCGAGGGAAUUCACUCAGAACUUACAAGAAUGAUAACGUGCUCCGACUUGAGCGGUUUAAGAACUGUUGGAAGGCUCUAGGGGAAUAAAGAUGGAAUCACUUCAAAUUUUUACGUCCGUGUGAUUUGAAAUACUUGCACACAAACCCCGAGAAAGCGUUCCUGGAAAUCUCGGCCGAAAAAAGGAUGUUUAAUAAUUCUAAAAGGGACUACAGGAUGAAAAACAAUAGCUUUGGCAGUUAAAGUUUGUGAUUCGAUGGUGCCGUAGAUCUGUUUGGUCAUCAGGUGUUAUGAGCCACACCCAUGUCUAGCUAGAAUAGUGUGUUAGGCUCAGGCUAGAGCAGAAACUAGGAACAAACUUAUGAAAGAAUGAUCAUACCGAGGGAAUUCACUCAGAACUAACAAGAAUGAUAACGUGCUCCGACUGGAGCGGUUUAGGAACUGCUGGAAGGCUCUAGGGGAAUAAAGAUGGAAUGACUUCUAAUUUUUAGGUCCGUAUGAUUUGAAAUACAUGCACACAAACCCCAAGAAAGCGUUCCUAGAAAUCUCAGCCCAAAAAGGACGUUUAGUAAUUCUAAAAGGGACUACAGGAUGAAAAACAAUAGGUUUGGCAGUUAAAGUUUGAGAUUCGAUAAUGCCGUAGAUCCGUUUGGUCAUCAGGUGUAACGAGCCACACCCAUGUCUAGCUACAUUAGUGUGCUAGGCUCAGACUAGAGAAGAAACGGGGAACAAACUGAUGAAAGAAUGAUCAUACCGAGGGAAUUCACUCAGAACUAACAAGAACGAUAACAUGCUCCGACUGCAGCGGUUUAGGAACUGCUGGAAGGCUCUAGGGGAAUAAAGAAGGAAUGACUUCUAAUUUUUAGGUCCGUAUGAUUUGAAAUACUUGCACACAAACCGCGCGAAAGCAUUCCUGGAAAUCUCAGCCCAAAAAAGGACGUUUAGUAAUUCUAAAAGGGACUACAGGAUGAAAAACAAUAAUUUUGGCAGUUAAAGUUUGAGAUUCGACGGUGCCGUAGAUCCGUUUGGUCAUCAGGUGUUACGGGCCAUACCCAUGUCUAGCUAGAAUAGUGUGUUAGGCUCAGGUUAGAGAAGAAACGGGGAACAAAGUGAUGAAAGAAUGAUCAUACCGAGGGAAUUCACUCAGAACUAACAAGAAUGAUAACGUGCUCCGACUGGAGCGGUUUAGGAAUUGCUGGAAGGCUCUAGGGGAAUAAAGAUGGAAUGACUUCUAUAUUUUACGUCCGUAUGAUUUGAAAUACUUGCACACAAACCACGCAAAAGCACUCCUGGAAAUAUCAGCCUAAAAAGGAUGUUUAGUAAUUCUAAAAGGGACUACAGGAUGAAAAAUAAUAGUUUUGGCAGUUAAAAUUUGAGAUUCAACGGUGCCGUAAAUCCGUUUGGUCAUCAGGUGUUACGAGCCACACCCAUGUCUAGCUAGAAUAGUGUGUUAGGCUCAGGUUAGAGAAGAAACGGGGAACAAACUGAUGAAAGAAUGAUCAUACAAGGGGAAUUCACUCAGAACUAUCAAGAAUGAUAACGUGCUCCGACUGGAGCAGUUUAGGAACUGCCGGAAGGCUCUAGGGGAAUAAAGAUGGAAUGACUUCUAAUUUUUAUGUCCGUAUGAUUUGAAAUACUUGCACACAAACCACGCAAAAGCGUUCCUGGAAAUCUCAGCCUAAAAAGGACGUUUAGUAAUUCUAAAAGGGACUACAGGAUGAAAAACAAUAGUUUGGGCAGUUAAAAUUCGAGAUUCGACGGUGCCGUAGAUCCGUUUGGUCAUCAGGUGUUACGAGCCACACCCAUGUCUAGCUAGAAUAGUGUGUUAGGCUCAGGCUAGAGAAGAAACGGGGAACAAACUGAUGAAAGAAUGAUCAUAUCGAGGGAAUUCACUCAGAACUAACAAGAAUGAUAACGUGCUCCGACUGGAGCGGUUUAGUAACUGCUGGAAGGCUCUAGGGGAAUAAAGAUGGAAUGACUUCUAAUUAUUAGGUCCGUAAGAUUUGAAUUACAUGCACACAAACCCCGAGAAAGCGUUCCUGGAAAUCUCGGUCGAAAAAAGGAUGUUUAGUAAUUCUAAAAGGGACUACAGGAUGAAAAACAAUAGUUUUGGCAGUUAAAGUUUGUGAUUCGAUGGUGCCGUAGAUCUGUUUGGUCAUCAGGUGUUACGAGCCACACCCAUGUCUAGCUAGAAUAGUGUGUUAGGCUCAGGCUAGAGCAGAAACGGGGAACAAACUUAUGAAAGAAUGAUCAUGCCGAGGGAAUUCACUCAGAACUAACAAGAAUGAUAACGUGCUCCGACUGGAGCGGUUUAGGAACUGCUGGAAGGCUCUAGGGGAAUAAAGAUGGAAUGACAUCAAAUUUUUAGGUCCGUAUGAUUUGAAAUACUUGCACACAAACCGCAAGAAAGCGUUCUUGGAAAUCUCCGCCCAAAAAAGGACGUUUAGUAAUUCUAAAAGGGUCUACAGGAUGAAAAACAAUAGUUCUGGCAGUUAAAGUUUGAGAUUCGAUAAUGUCGUAGAUCCGUUUGGUCAUCAGGCGUAACGAGCCACACCCAUUUCUAGCUAGAGUAGUGUGCUAGGCUCAGACUAGAGAAGAAACGGGGAACAACCUGAUGAAAGAAUGAUCAUACCGAGGGAAUUCACUCAGAACUAACAAGAAUGAUAACGUGCUCCGACUGGAGCGGUUUAGGAACUGCUGGAAGGCUCUACGGGAAUAAAGAAGGAAUGACUUCUAAUUUUUAGGUCCGUAUGAUUUGAAAUACGUGCACACAAACCCCGAGAAAGCGUUCCUGGAAAUCUCGGCCCAAAAAAGGACGUUUAGUAUUCUAAAAGCGACUACAGAAUGAAAAACAAUAGUUUUGGUAGUUAAAGUUUGAGAUUUAACGGUGCCGUAGAUCUGUUUGGUCAUCAGGUGUUACGAGCCACACCCAUGUCUAGCUAGAAUAGUGUGUUAGGCUCAGGCUAGAUAAGAAACAGGGAACAAAGUGAUGAAAGAAUGAUCAUACCAAGGGAAUUCACUCAGAACUAACAAGAACGAUAACAUGCUCCGACUGGAGUGGUUUAGGAACUGCUGGAAGGCUCUAGGGGAAUAAAGAUGGAAUGACUUCUAAUUUUUAGGUCUGUAUGAUUUGAAAUACUUGCACACAAACCGCACGAAAGCGUUCCUGGAAAUCUCAUCCCAAAAAAGGACGUUUAGUAAUUCUAAAAGGGACUACAGGAUGAAAAACAAUAGUUUUGGCAGUUAAAGUUUGAGAUUCGAUAAUGCUGUAGAUCCGUUUGGUCAUCAGGUGUAACGAGCCACACCCAUGUCUAGCUAGAGUAGUGUGCUAGGCUCAGACUAGAGAAGAAACGGGGAACAAACUGAUGAAAGAAUGAUCAUACCGAGGGAAUUCACUCAGAACUAACAAUAAUGAUAACGUGCUCCGACUGGAGCGGUUUAGGAACUGCUGGAAGGCUCUAGGGGAAUAAAGAUGGAAUGAGUUCUAAUUUUUAGGUCUGUAUGAUUUGAAAUACUUGCACACAAACCGCGUGAAAGCAUUCCUGGAAAUUUCAGCCCAAAAAAGGACGUUUAGUAAUUUUAAAAGGGACUACACGAUGAAAAACAAUAGUUUUGGCAGUUAAAGUUUGAGAUUCGACGGUGCCGUAGAUCCGUUUGGUCAUCAGGUGUUACGAGCCACACCCAUGUCUAGCUAGAAUAGUAUGUUAGGCUCGGGUAAGAGAAGAAACGGGGAACAAACUGAUGAAAGAAUGAUCAUACCAAGGGAAUUCACUCAGAACUAACAAGAAUGAUAACGUGCUCCGACUGGAGCGGUUUAGGAACUGCUGGAAGGCUCUAGGGGAAUAAAGAUGGAAUGACUUCUAAUUUUUACGUUCGUAUGAUUUGAAAUACUUGCACACAAACCACGCAAAAGCGUUCCUGGAAAUCUCAUCCUAAAAAAGGACGUUUAGUAAUUCUAAAAGGGACUACAGGAUGAAAAAUAAUAGUUUGGGCAGUUAAAAUUUGAGAUUCGACGGUGCCGUAGAUCCGUUUGGUCAUCAGGUGUUACGAGCCACACCCAUGUCUAGCUAGAAUAGUGUGUUAGGCUCAGGCUAGAGAAGAAACGGGGAACAAACUGAUGAAAGAAUGAUCAUAUCGAGGGAAUUCACUCAGAACUAACAAGAAUGAUAACGUGCUCCGACUGGAGCAGUUUAGAAACUGCUGGAAGGCUCUAGGGGAAUAAAGAUGGAAUGACUUCUAAUUUUUAGGUCUGUAUGAUUUGAAAUACGUGCACACGAACCCCGAGAAAGCGUUCCUGGAAAUCUCGGCCCAAAAAAGGACGUUUAGUAAUUCUAAAAGGGACUACAGGAUGAAAAACAAUAGUUUUGGCAGUUAAAGUUUGAGAUUCGACGGUGCCGUAGAUCCGUUUGUUCAUCAGGUGUUACGAGCCACACCCAUGUCUAGCUAGAAUAGUGUGUUAGGCUCAGGCUAGAGAAGAAACGGGGAACAAACUGAUGAAAGAAUGAUCAUACCGAGGGAAUUCACUCAGAACUAACAAGAAUGAUAACGUGCUCCGACUGGAGCGGUUUAGGAACUGCUAGAAGGCUCUAGGGGAAUAAAGAAGGAAUGACUUCUAAUUUUUAGGUCCGUAUGAUUUGAAAUACGUGCACACAAACCCCGAGAAAGCGUUCCUGGAAAUCUUGGCCCAAAAAAGGACGUUUAGUAUUCUAAAAGCGACUACAGAAUGAAAAACAAUAGUUUUGCUAGUUAAAGUUUGAGAUUUGAUGGUGCCGUAGAUCUGUUUGGUCAUCAG
Molecule: long non-coding RNA, 24642 nt
Filed under: Triticum aestivum (bread wheat)
Lineage: Eukaryota; Viridiplantae; Streptophyta; Magnoliopsida; Poales; Poaceae
Description: long non-coding RNA (TAES_LNC019907)
Source: RNAcentral